RNAcentral lists this long non-coding RNA (725 nucleotides) under Chinchilla lanigera (long-tailed chinchilla). RNAcentral's name for it is "lncRNA (ENSCLAG00000024744.1)". Lineage: Eukaryota; Metazoa; Chordata; Mammalia; Rodentia; Chinchillidae. The record is from RNAcentral.
UGUAUUAUUGGAAGGCAAAGUUGCAAUAAUGACAUGGUCUUGAAAUACUUGUUAAAGUACAGAACAUUUGUGUUGGGGUUGCUCAUUUCUGUCUGGACUUUGUUCUUCAGAGACCUGGGACAAACACAUGUGUCACUUACAGUACUUGAGAACAUCCUCACAAAGGCUCUGGAAUUGGAAAGACUGAUCUUACCGAGCCAUAUGGUCUGCUGUCUCUGCCAUUUUAAAGAUGAUAUGAUGUUGCCUGCAAGACAGUCGAGCUGCUGUGUGACAGCGCAUGUCUGACCAAUGACAUGCAGUGCCGUGAGUCUCAACUACCUGAUGAUGAAUGUUUUCAUUUUAUUUUAUUUGCUUUUUAAUUUUUAACUGGUGAUGAUAAAAAUUGUAAACUAAUGACACAAUCAUUUUACUUUGAUUCAUUCAUCAAAGUUAAGCUCCCCAAAAUUCUGAAGUGCUCCUCAGGGGAGAGACAGGCUCUCAGCACUUCAUCAUGCAAUAACAGAACUGUCCCACAUGCGUAAGGACAGAGAGAAAGGGCUGGAAGGCAGGGAACACCGUUCUUGGCCGCGCACCCUGGACCGUGUUCUUUGUUUGGUGCUUUGCCUUCCAAUGAAAAUUUCAUUCAUAAAGUGCAGUGGAGACUGUAAGAUGGUUGUAUAUACAUGAGGUUUCGUUUCCUCGACCUCGGGGCAGCUGUAGAUCAGUUUUAUCUUCUUUUUGUAAUU